UAGCAGCACGUAAAUAUUGGAGUUAAGACUAAGUGAAGCCUCCAGUAUUGAUCGUGCUGCUGAA
Molecule: microRNA precursor, 64 nt
Filed under: Monopterus albus (swamp eel)
Lineage: Eukaryota; Metazoa; Chordata; Actinopteri; Synbranchiformes; Synbranchidae
Description: Mal-Mir-15-P2a2_pre stem-loop
Rfam family: mir-16 microRNA precursor family
About the family: The hairpin precursors (represented here) are predicted based on base pairing and cross-species conservation -- their extents are not known. In this case the mature sequence is excised from the 5' arm of the hairpin.
Source: RNAcentral